CACCUCCUCCUACAACAACACCUCCUCCUACGUCCACAUCUACUCCUACAUCCAAACCUUCUCCUGGUUCCUCUCUUCUCCUCCCUGUGUUCUUGCCUCAGUUUUCUUUCUUGUCUCUGGUUCUCCUGGUGGUUCUGAUUUUCCUGAGACAACGUGUUCGUAGGAAACAUGAAGCUGUUGAAGACAUCGUCACAGAUGACAUCACAUACAGAACAUCUAUAUGAGUCUUCUUUGUUCCUCUGACGUCUUUCUUUGUUUCUCUCGUUCACUUUUACGGAACAAAAACGUUCUGAAAGUUUUAAAUGAACCUUUUCAAUAAAGUUAAAACAUUUUAGAAAACUCAUAGAACUGCUUGAAUACAUGCGUAGAAAACAACUCUUUAUGAUUUAUAUCUUUAAUGUAUUAAUUUAUUUCACUGUGGAAUGAUCUGCCUCUGAUCAUUAGACGUCUUCUUUGUCUGUUUUUAAAUCUCUUCUUAAAGUUAAAAUCUUUUCCAUGACCUUUAACACCCUGUAAUUCUUUGAUUUAUUUUUUUAUUUUUAUUAUUAUUUUGCUGUUUUUACUGAGGUUUUAUACAUAGAUGUCUAUAUCAUUUUGUAUUCAUGCCUUGUGUGUGAGUUGUUACGUCUUUUAUUUGCUGUCUUUUAUUUAUUCUUCUGUACAGCACUUUACUACCUUGUGAAUGUGAAGUGUUUUAUAAAUAAAACAGGAUUGGAUUGGAUAUAUUAACAAUUACAUUUCAUCUGAUAACUUUACUCAUCUGUGGUAAAUCUACUCUUUAGUUCAUGACUCUGUUGUCAGGGAGCUUUGUUCUGUGUGGUUUGUUCCUGUGGUGAAUCUGUUAACAGAAGCUAAUGUCUCUGUUUCCUGGUUCUGAUCUUAACAUGAACCUGCUCAUGGUUCACUGACUGUAAGACCAUUAAUCACUCAUAAUCACUGUGAUUAGUUAUUACAUUAAAUAAACUGCCUUUAGUAUCA
Long non-coding RNA from Mugil cephalus (flathead mullet), 978 nucleotides. RefSeq lists it as uncharacterized. The transcript has 2 exons. NCBI's taxonomy places the organism in Eukaryota, Metazoa, Chordata, Actinopteri, Mugiliformes, Mugilidae. The record is from RefSeq and is a predicted model, not a curated record.